AUACGGAGGGUGCAAGCGUUGUCCGGAUUUAUUGGGUUUAAAGGGUGCGUAGGCGGCCCGUUAAGUCAGUGGUGAAAGGUAUCAGCUCAACUGAUGAAGUGCCAUUGAAACUAACGGGCUUGAGUACAUACGAGGUAGGCGGAAUUUAUGGUGUAGCGGUGAAAUGCAUAGAUACCAUAAAGAACACCGAUAGCGAAGGCAGCUUACUAGACUGUCACUGACGCUGAGGCACGAAAGCGUGGGGAGCAAACAGGAUUAGAAACCCCAGUAGUCC
This 274-nucleotide ribosomal RNA is filed under the name uncultured bacterium. RNAcentral's name for it is "partial 16S ribosomal RNA". It matches the Rfam family "Bacterial small subunit ribosomal RNA", at positions 523 to 796 of the family's 1533-position model. The record is from RNAcentral.